This 495-nucleotide ribosomal RNA is filed under the name uncultured Sphingobacteriales bacterium. RNAcentral describes it as "bacterial SSU rRNA". It matches the Rfam family "Bacterial small subunit ribosomal RNA", at positions 887 to 1382 of the family's 1533-position model. The record is from RNAcentral. Lineage: Bacteria; Pseudomonadati; Bacteroidota; Sphingobacteriia; Sphingobacteriales.
GCCCGCUCAGAAAACCAAAGGAAUUGACGGGGGCCCGCACAAGCGGUGGAGCAUGUGGUUUAAUUCGAAGCAACGCGAAGAACCUUACCAGGCCUUGACAUGCAGAGAACUUUCCAGAGAUGGAUUGGUGCCUUCGGGAACUCUGACACAGGUGCCGCAUGGUUGUCGUCAGCUCGUGCCGUGAGGUGUCGGGUUAAGUCCCAUAACGAGCGCAACCCUACCUUUAGUUGCCAUCAGGUAAUGCUGGGGACUCUAAAGGAACUGCCUACGCAAGUAGUGAGGAAGGCGGGGAUGACGUCAAAUCAGCACGGCCCUUACGUCCAGGGCUACACACGUGCUACAAUGGCCGAUACAGAGGGCAGCUACCUGGUGACAGGAUGCAAAUCUCCAAAGUCGGUCUCAGUUCGGAUCGGAGUCUGCAACCCGACUCCGUGAAGUUGGAUUCGCUAGUAAUCGCGCAUCAGCCAUGGCGCGGUGAAUACGUUCCCGGGCCUU